AAUAGAUACCCUGGUAGUCCACGCCGUAAACGAUGAGUGCUAAGUGUUGGGGGGUUUCCGCCCCUCAGUGCUGCAGCUAACGCAUUAAGCACUCCGCCUGGGGAGUACGGUCGCAAGACUGAAACUCAAAGGAAUUGACGGGGGCCCGCACAAGCGGUGGAGCAUGUGGUUUAAUUCGAAGCAACGCGAAGAACCUUACCAGGUCUUGACAUCCCGGUGACCACUAUGGAGACAUAGUUUCCCCUUCGGGGGCAACGGUGACAGGUGGUGCAUGGUUGUCGUCAGCUCGUGUCGUGAGAUGUUGGGUUAAGUCCCGCAACGAGCGCAACCCUUAUUCUUAGUUGCCAUCAUUUAGUUGGGCACUCUAAGGAGACUGCCGGUGAUAAACCGGAGGAAGGUGGGGAUGACGUCAAAUCAUCAUGCCCCUUAUGACCUGGGCUACACACGUGCUACAAUGGACGGUACAAACGGUUGCCAACCCGCGAGGGGGAGCUAAUCCGAUAAAACCGUUCUCAGUUCGGAUUGUAGGCUGCAACUCGCCUACA
Molecule: ribosomal RNA, 545 nt
Filed under: uncultured bacterium
Lineage: Bacteria
Description: bacterial SSU rRNA
Rfam family: Bacterial small subunit ribosomal RNA
Source: RNAcentral